This 235-nucleotide ribosomal RNA is filed under the name uncultured bacterium. RNAcentral's name for it is "partial 16S ribosomal RNA". It matches the Rfam family "Bacterial small subunit ribosomal RNA", at positions 96 to 334 of the family's 1533-position model. The record is from RNAcentral.
UGGCGGACGGGUGAGUAAUGUCUGGGAAACUGCCCGAUGGAGGGGGAUAACUACUGGAAACGGUAGCUAAUACCGCAUAACGUCUACGGACCAAAGCGGGGGACCUCCGGGCCUCGCGCCAUCAGAUGAACCCAUAUGGGAUUAGCUUGUAGGUAAGGUAACGGCUUACCUAGGCGACGAUCCCUAGCUGGUCUGAGAGGAUGAUCAGCCACACUGGGACUGAGACACGGCCCAG